Molecule: ribosomal RNA, 241 nt
Filed under: uncultured bacterium
Lineage: Bacteria
Description: partial 16S ribosomal RNA
Rfam family: Bacterial small subunit ribosomal RNA
Source: RNAcentral
UGGCGGACGGGGUGAGUAACGCGUAGGGGAUCUAUCUUCCGGUGGGGGGACAACCGUGGGAAACUACGGCUAAUACCGCAUGACAACCGAGGUUCAAAGGCGUCUGGGGCAACCUGGGGGGCUGCCGGGGGCGGAGCCUGCGUACGAUUAGCUAGUUGGUGGGGUAAUGGCCUACCAAGGCGACGAUCGUUAGCUGGUCUGAGAGGAUGAUCAGCCACAUUGGGACUGAGACACGGCCCAA